AUGCUUUCACAACUUGACUUCAAAAUAUUUGGUUUGGAGACCAUCAAAGAUCAAUAUGUGCAUGAUGCUGAUUUUAAAGAUGUAAUGCAGAAUUGUAAAGAAGGAAGAAUGUGGAACAAGUUUGUCGUUAACGAUGGAUUUGUGUUUCGUGCUAACAAGCUAUGCAUUCCAGCUAGCUCCGUUCGUCUUUUGUUGUUGCAGGAGGCGCAUGGAGGAGGAUUAAUGGGACACUUUGGCGUGAAGAAGACGGAGGACGUACUUGCUACACAUUUCUUUUGGCCAAAGAUGAGACGGGAUGUUGAGCGUUGUAUUGCUCGAUGCACUACAUGUCAAAAAGCUAAGUCACGACUCAAUCCUCAUGGUUUAUAUAUGCCUUUGCCUGUACCUAGUGUUCCUUGGGAGGAUAUAUCUAUGGACUUUGUUUUAGGUUUACCUCGAACAAAGAAGGGGAGGGAUAGCAUAUUUGUUGUCGUGGAUAGAUUCUCGAAAAUGGCACACUUUAUACCAUGUCAUAAAAGCGAUGAUGCUGUUAAUGUUGCUGAUUUGUUCUUUCGUGAAAUUAUUCGCUUGCAUGGUGUGCCAAAUACUAUUGUUUCAGAUCGUGAUACUAAAUUCCUUAGCCACUUUUGGAGAUGUUUAUGGGCUAAGUUGGGGACUAAACUGCUUUUUAGUACUACUUGUCACCCCCAAACUGAUGGACAAACUGAAGUAGUCAAUAGAACGUUGUCUACUAUGCUUAGGGCUGUUUUGAAGAAUAAUAAGAAAAUGUGGGAGGAAUGCUUGCCUCAUAUUGAAUUUGCUUAUAAUCGUUCAUUGCAUUCUACUACUAAGAUGUGCCCUUUUGAAGUUGUGUAUGGUUUCCUACCUCGUGCACCUAUUGAUCUGUUGCCUCUUCCAUCUUCGGAGAAGGUUAAUUUUGAUGCUAAACAACGUGCUGAAUUGAUUUUAAAAAUGCAUGAGUUAACUAAGGAAAACAUUGAGCGUAUGAAUGCUAAAUAUAAACUUGCUGGAGAUAAGGGUAGAAAACAUGUUGUGUUUGCACCUGGAGAUCUUGUUUGGUUACAUUUGCUCAAGGAUAGAUUUCCUGAUUUGCGCAAAUCAAACCUAAUGCCACGUGAUGAUGGUCCCUUUAAGGUGUUAGAGAAAAUAAAUGAUAAUGCAUAUAAACUUGAGCUGCGUGCAGAUUUUGGGGUUAGUCCCACUUUUAACAUUGCAGAUUUGAAGCCUUAUUUGGGUGAGGAAGCUGAGUUUCCGUCGAGGACGACUUCAUUUCAAGAAGGGGAGGAUGAUGAGGACAUCAAUACCAUUGUUACACCCACAGCCCCUACUGCUACAUAUACGGGACCAAUUACUAGAGCUCGCGCACGCCAAUUAAAUUAUCAGGUACUUUCGUUUCUUGGUAAUGAUUCUAAUGUUCAUGAGAAUAUGAUGCUUCCUAAAUUGGAUACAUUUGUUUUGCUUACAAAUGAAGGGCCUAGCUUGGAGAAGGAUGAACAUUGGAGCAAGAACAAGCAUGGAGAUGAUGCCAUGCGCAAGGGGAACAAGAACGGAGUUACAAGUGAUGAUUUCAGGACUUUGAAGCCAUCAUAA
RNAcentral lists this ribosomal RNA (1590 nucleotides) under Triticum aestivum (bread wheat). RNAcentral's name for it is "partial small subunit ribosomal RNA". Lineage: Eukaryota; Viridiplantae; Streptophyta; Magnoliopsida; Poales; Poaceae. The record is from RNAcentral.